This 326-nucleotide long non-coding RNA is filed under the name Pongo abelii (Sumatran orangutan). RNAcentral describes it as "lincRNA". Lineage: Eukaryota; Metazoa; Chordata; Mammalia; Primates; Hominidae. The record is from RNAcentral.
UGCUGUGCUGCCUUCUGAAUUCUCCUACAAAAAGCAGUGGCCAGGUCGUAUGGUCCUUACAUUCCAGGAAAUUGUAAAGCUCUUCAAACUCUUCAAAUUACAAAACUCUUCUCUUGAAGACAAUCCCUUUGCUUGGCAAAGAGGUAAGAGAAAAUACCAUAAAGAGGAGGGGUGGGAUUAGAGGAGUAAAUGGACCUUACAACUUCUCUUUUGUAACCUAGAGAUUAACAACAGGCUAAAGCUUGCAGAUCCAGUUUCAGUGUUUUUUUGCACAUGCUGUAGAGGUGAUGCAGCAUCUUCCUGAUGUCCAGGGUUUUGGUGUAUAU